GUGCAUAAUUGCACGGACCUGCUUUCCAGUGUUCUUUUGUGAGCAGUGUUAUUUCUUGUGUGCUACAUAAAAGUUGAAGACUAAUUAGCAGUAUAACUAAUAGUAAUGCCGCCAGUCUCCUUCAGACAGCU
Small nucleolar RNA from Sorex araneus (European shrew), 131 nucleotides. Lineage: Eukaryota; Metazoa; Chordata; Mammalia; Eulipotyphla; Soricidae. The record is from Ensembl.